GUUGUAUACAGGUCGUGUACAGGUUGUAUACAGGUCGUGUACAGGUCGUGUACAGGUUGUGUACAGGUUGUGUACAGGUUGUAUACAGGUCGUGUACAGGUUGUAUACAGGUCGUGUACAGGUUGUGUACAGGUCGUGUACAGGUUGUAUACAGGUCGUGUACAGGUUGUAUACAGGUCGUGUACAGGUUGUGUACAGGUCGUGUACAGGUUGUAUACAGGUCGUGUACAGGUCGUGUACAGGUUGUAUACAGGUCGUGUACAGGUUGUGUACAGGUCGUGUACAGGUUGUAUACAGGUUGUAUACAGGUCGUGUACAGGUUGUAUACAGGUCGUGUACAGGUCGUGUACAGGUCGUAUACAGGUCGUGUACAGGUUGUGUACAGGCUUCCAAGAAAUGCACAUUGAUCCACUACCAGUGCUGGAAUGAUGUCAGGGUAUCUCGCUUCCUUGAAGCCUCUCUCAUGACAGAGGACGAAUCUAUAGUCCUGCUUUCUCACUAAUUAAUGAGCUGUGUGGA
Oncorhynchus keta (chum salmon) is the source of this 519-nucleotide long non-coding RNA. RefSeq lists it as uncharacterized. The record is from RefSeq and is a predicted model, not a curated record. NCBI's taxonomy places the organism in Eukaryota, Metazoa, Chordata, Actinopteri, Salmoniformes, Salmonidae. The transcript is spliced from 5 exons.